RNAcentral lists this transfer RNA (80 nucleotides) under Candidatus Schekmanbacteria bacterium. Its description in RNAcentral is "tRNA-Leu". It matches the Rfam family "tRNA". Rfam says of the family: Transfer RNA (tRNA) molecules are approximately 80 nucleotides in length. Lineage: Bacteria; Candidatus Schekmaniibacteriota. The record is from RNAcentral.
GGGAAAGUGGCGGAAUUGGCAGACGCGCUGGACUUAGGAUCCAGUGGGCAACCGUGGGGGUUCGAGUCCCCCCUUUCCCA